GUUGAUGAUCGCUGGAUUUCUUCACCCCGGUAUAAAGGCCAGGCCCAUGAAAACAGUCCAUGAUCCGAAGGUUUCAAUAUUCCCCUCGAGAGCCAGGUCCAGCCCGCUCAGUCACAGGGCCGGACUCCGCCUAGACUCCUCAAUCAAACCGGCCCAAACCUCUCGGCCCAGUAAUCAGGCCCUCACCCGACUCAACUUCAACCCUACC
This 208-nucleotide long non-coding RNA is filed under the name Manihot esculenta (cassava). RNAcentral describes it as "long non-coding RNA (MESC_LNC012899)". Lineage: Eukaryota; Viridiplantae; Streptophyta; Magnoliopsida; Malpighiales; Euphorbiaceae. The record is from RNAcentral.